GGGGCUAUAGCUCAGCUGGGAGACCGCCUGCCUUGCACGCAGGAGGUCUGCGGUUCGAUCCCGCAUAGCUCCACCA
Molecule: transfer RNA, 76 nt
Filed under: Vibrio parahaemolyticus
Lineage: Bacteria; Pseudomonadati; Pseudomonadota; Gammaproteobacteria; Vibrionales; Vibrionaceae
Description: tRNA-Ala
Rfam family: tRNA
About the family: Transfer RNA (tRNA) molecules are approximately 80 nucleotides in length. Their secondary structure includes four short double-helical elements and three loops (D, anti-codon, and T loops). Further hydrogen bonds mediate the characteristic L-shaped molecular structure. tRNAs have two regions of fundamental functional importance: the anti-codon, which is responsible for specific mRNA codon recognition, and the 3' end, to which the tRNAs corresponding amino acid is attached (by aminoacyl-tRNA synthetases). tRNAs cope with the degeneracy of the genetic code in two manners: having more than one tRNA (with a specific anti-codon) for a particular amino acid; and 'wobble' base-pairing, i.e. permitting non-standard base-pairing at the 3rd anti-codon position.
Source: RNAcentral